Long non-coding RNA from Epinephelus fuscoguttatus (brown-marbled grouper), 155 nucleotides. RefSeq lists it as uncharacterized. NCBI's taxonomy places the organism in Eukaryota, Metazoa, Chordata, Actinopteri, Perciformes, Serranidae. The transcript has 3 exons. The record is from RefSeq and is a predicted model, not a curated record.
GUAGGAAACACAUGCUUUGAGCUUAUCGAACGAAUUGCUCAAUCAAAGGGGAAGUGCAUUUCUGUGGCUGAUUUGUAUGUUCUUCCAGCAUGGCGACACCCAACUGCAUGCAACCCAUUCUCAAGUUUACCUAAACCUUUCCCAGUCAACAAGUC